Molecule: ribosomal RNA, 273 nt
Filed under: uncultured bacterium
Lineage: Bacteria
Description: partial 16S ribosomal RNA
Rfam family: Bacterial small subunit ribosomal RNA
Source: RNAcentral
GACGAAGGGGGCAAGCGUUGUUCGGAAUUACUGGGCGUAAAGGGCGCGUAGGCGGCGCAUUAAGUCAGGCGUGAAAGCCCUGGGCUCAACCUGGGAAUGGCGCUUGAUACUGGUGUGCUAGAGAGCGGGAGAGGAUGGUGGAAUUCCCAGUGUAGAGGUGAAAUUCGUAGAUAUUGGGAAGAACACCGGUGGCGAAGGCGGCCAUCUGGACCGUAUCUGACGCUGAGGCGCGAAAGCGUGGGGAGCAAACAGGAUUAGAAACCCCAGUAGUCC